Long non-coding RNA from Dama dama (fallow deer), 960 nucleotides. RefSeq lists it as uncharacterized. The transcript has 4 exons. NCBI's taxonomy places the organism in Eukaryota, Metazoa, Chordata, Mammalia, Artiodactyla, Cervidae. The record is from RefSeq and is a predicted model, not a curated record.
AUCCCACCCAAACUGCCACCACUGUAGUCCUGGCCCUUUUAACUUUGUGGCUAGACUUGGAUAAUAGCUUACUGAUCAUCUACUGUGUGCCAGGUACUAUUCUGAGGAUAUUUGUUUUUGUGUGGUCUCUAGGUCAUAUCCGACUCUUUACCACCACAUGGAUGGCAACUCCUCUGUCCUGGGGAUACAGUGAAGAGCAAACAGAGGACCUGUUUUCCAUUGAGGCUAAAUUCUUGCAACAGAAACCAAAGAUAAAGUUUAGAAGUAAAGACUUGUGCUUAGAAAAUUGUUAGCUAUUCAGAAAAGUCAAAAGAAGAGUACAGUGACCACCUAUAUACCACCUACCUAGGUUCAGAUUAAUCUAAAGCAUUAUUUUUGUCCUGUCCUCCCCUUAGGCACUGAAGUCCAAUGACUCUUCUAGUAUUUCUUUAAAGUUCAGUCUUCCUCAAUGUUUGCUUUAGGAGCUGACCAUCCUUUGAGCCCUGCCAUGUGACAGGCCUGAUUUUUACAGCCGUAAGACCAGCCUUCUUGAAAGCUACAGGAAUGAUCUUCAUAUAUGGAAUAUGUUUCCUAUCAGAGAAAUGUUGAACGAAUUUUCUACAGAGGGUUGUGGGAUCUACUGUAAACUUUUGAAGGAAAGACUUCUCUCCUUUUGGGACAUAUCUAAAGAAGAGAGCUGAGGAUGCAAAGAACCUAAGAAACUACAAUGAGAGAAGAGCUCCCCAGAUGCCCCAUUCUUGGUGGAAUAGCUGGAGCUGGAGGAAGCUGGUACAAAAGUAUGUAAGAAGAACAGGGUUGAGUUUUUUAACACAUUUUAAAAGUCUGAGAAAAGGCCAGUGUGGUGAUUCAAAAACCCUGAGAUCUCCAUACACAAAGACAAUUUGCUCUCACCCAUCAGAGUGAGACUGUUUAAAAUAUCCAACUCUUCAAGAUAAAGAGUAUUUAUAGAUGGAAGAGGGA